Molecule: ribosomal RNA, 591 nt
Filed under: uncultured bacterium
Lineage: Bacteria
Description: bacterial SSU rRNA
Rfam family: Bacterial small subunit ribosomal RNA
Source: RNAcentral
AGAGUUUGAUCAUGGCUCAGAGUGAACGCUGGCGGCAUGCCUAACACAUGCAAGUCGAACGAGAACGGAUCUAGCUUGCUAGAUUGUCAGCUAAGUGGCGCACGGGUGAGUAAUAUAUAGUUAAUCUGCCCCAAAGAAGAGAAUAAUUGUUGGAAACGACUUGUAAUGCUCUAUAUGCCUUUAUCACAUAAGUGAGCAAGGGAAAUAUUUAUAGCUUUGGGAUGAGACUGUACGGUAUCAGCUUGUUGGUGAGGUAAUGGCUCACCAAGGCUAUGACAUCUAACUGGUUUGAGAGGAUGGUCAGUCACACUGGAACUGAGACACGGUCCAGACUCCUACGGGAGGCAGCAGUGGGGAAUAUUGCACAAUGGACGAAAGUCUGAUGCAGCAACGCCGCGUGGAGGAUGACACAUUUCGGUGCGUAAACUCCUUUUAUUAGGGAAGAUAAUGACGGUACCUAAUGAAUAAGCACCGGCUAACUCCGUGCCAGCAGCCGCGGUAAUACGGGGGGUGCAAGCGUUACUCGGAAUCACUGGGCGUAAAGAGCAUGUAGGCUGAUUAGUAAGUUGGAAGUGAAAUCCUAUGGCUCAA